GUGUUGUAUGAAAGGAGAGAAGGUUAGCACUCCCCUUGACAAGGAUGGAAGAGGCCCUUGGGCCUGACAACACGCAUAUGGUUUUUAAAAAAUUUUUAU
Molecule: non-coding RNA, 99 nt
Filed under: Sapajus apella (tufted capuchin)
Lineage: Eukaryota; Metazoa; Chordata; Mammalia; Primates; Cebidae
Also listed under: 1 other name
Source: RNAcentral